This 821-nucleotide ribosomal RNA is filed under the name Lysmata vittata. Its description in RNAcentral is "12S ribosomal RNA". It matches the Rfam family "Microsporidia small subunit ribosomal RNA", at positions 316 to 1311 of the family's 1311-position model. The record is from RNAcentral. Lineage: Eukaryota; Metazoa; Arthropoda; Malacostraca; Decapoda; Hippolytidae.
GAGAAGUUCAGUGCUUCACCUUUAAACCAUGAGGUUUCCCUUGAUUUAGGAAAUUAAGAUAGUCCAGGCUAAGAAAUGUGCCAGCAGCCGCGGUUACACUGCACAUGGGCAAAUAGGGGUCUAUUGGUUUUUAAUUAAAAGUUGAUAUCUUAAAAUGACCAAAAGGAGGCAAGAGAAGUCUAAUUCUCACGAAGACGGAUAAUGGUCGUUGAAUAGAUGAAUUUUGAAGUUAGUAAAAUCAGACGAUGAGAUCAGGAUUAGAUACCCUGGUAUUCUGAUCCAGAAAAAAUUAACCAUGCCACUAAAAGAUAAAGGCUUUAAAACUAAAGAAUUUGGCGGUAUCUCCAAUCAAAUUAGAGGAACCUGUCCUGUAAUCGACGAUCCGCGAUUAAUCUUACCUUGUAAAGUAUUGCUUUCUUUAAUUAUUACACAUAUAAUAAUUAUAGUUAGACCAGCCGGUAUACCGCCAUUUUGAAGUAAUUUUUGAAGAGAUUACUGUAAUUUUGAUUUUUAGGACUAAAUAAAAACAAGACAAAUAUAGACCGAAAAGCGUAGAGCUUUUAAUGAAAGUGAAUGAGUUUCAUAUUUAGUAAAUUAGGUCAAGGUGCCGCCAAUAACAAGAGUAGAGAUGGGUUACAAUUUUAUUGAAAAUUACGGAUGAAAAUAUUUGAAAAGUUAUCUGAAGGCGGAUUUAUCAGUAAUAUAAGUUUAAUACCCUUAUAUGAAGACGAACUGGACUACGUACACAUCGCCCGUCGCUCUCAGUAUUUUGGGAUAAGUCGUAACAAAGUAGGCGUACCGGAAGGUGCGCCUAGAUGUCU